AACGAACGCUGGCGGCAUGCCUAACACAUGCAAGUCGAACGAGACCUUCGGGUCUAGUGGCGCACGGGUGCGUAACGCGUGGGAACCUGCCCUUAGGUUCGGAAUAACUCCCCGAAAGGGGUGCUAAUACCGGAUAAUGUCUUCGGACCAAAGAUUUAUCGCCUUUGGAUGGGCCCGCGUUGGAUUAGCUAGUUGGUAGGGUAAAAGCCUACCAAGGCGACGAUCCAUAGCUGGUCUGAGAGGAUGAUCAGCCACACUGGGACUGAGACACGGCCCAGACUCCUACGGGAGGCAGCAGUAGGGAAUAUUGGACAAUGCGCGAAAGCCUGAUCCAGCAAUGCCGCGUGAGUGAUGAAUGCCUUAGGGUUGUAAAGCUCUUUUACCCGGGAUGAUAAUGACAGUACCGGGAUAAUAAGCACCGGCUAACUCCGUG
Molecule: ribosomal RNA, 433 nt
Filed under: uncultured bacterium
Lineage: Bacteria
Description: partial 16S ribosomal RNA
Rfam family: Bacterial small subunit ribosomal RNA
Source: RNAcentral